AUUGAACGCUGGCGGCAGGCUUAACACAUGCAAGUCGAGCGGGGGAGGUUGCUUCGGUAACUGACCUAGCGGCGGACGGGUGAGUAAUGCUUAGGAAUCUGCCUAUUAGUGGGGGACAACAUCUCGAAAGGGAUGCUAAUACCGCAUACGUCCUACGGGAGAAAGCAGGGGACCUUCGGGCCUUGCGCUAAUAGAUGAGCCUAAGUCGGAUUAGCUAGUUGGUGGGGUAAAGGCCUACCAAGGCGACGAUCUGUAGCGGGUCUGAGAGGAUGAUCCGCCACACUGGGACUGAGACACGGCCCAGACUCCUACGGGAGGCAUCAGUGGGGAAUAUUGGACAAUGGGGGGAACCCUGAUCCAGCCAUGCCGCGUGUGUGAAGAAGGCCUUUUGGUUGUAAAGCACUUUAAGCGAGGAGGAGGCUACUGGUAUUAAUACUACCGGAUAGUGGACGUUACUCGCAGAAUAAGCACCGGUUAACUCUGUGCCAGCAGCCGCCGUAA
RNAcentral lists this ribosomal RNA (501 nucleotides) under uncultured bacterium. RNAcentral's name for it is "partial 16S ribosomal RNA". It matches the Rfam family "Bacterial small subunit ribosomal RNA", at positions 30 to 523 of the family's 1533-position model. The record is from RNAcentral.